UGGGGAAUAUUGCACAAUGGAGGGAACUCUGAUGCAGCGACGCCGCGUGAACGAAGAAGGCUUUCGCGUCGUAAAGUUCUUUUAUAUGGGAAGAUAAUGACGGUACCAUAAGAAGAAGCCCCGGCUAACUACGUGCCAGCAGCCGCGGUAAUACGUAGGGGGCUAGCGUUGUCCGGAAUCACUGGGCGUAAAGGGUUCGCAGGCGGAAAUGCAAGUCAGGUGUAAAAGGCAGUAGCUUAACUACUGUAAGCAUUUGAAACUGCAUAUCUUGAGAAGAGUAGAGGUAAGUGGAAUUUUUAGUGUAGCGGUGAAAUGCGUAGAUAUUAAAAAGAAUACCGGUGGCGAAGGCGACUUACUGGGCUCAUUCUGACGCUGAGGAACGAAAGCGUGGGUAGCAAACAGG
Molecule: ribosomal RNA, 403 nt
Filed under: bacterium
Lineage: Bacteria
Description: partial 16S ribosomal RNA
Rfam family: Bacterial small subunit ribosomal RNA
Source: RNAcentral